This is a long non-coding RNA of Triticum aestivum (bread wheat), 1558 nucleotides long. RefSeq lists it as uncharacterized. Lineage: Eukaryota; Viridiplantae; Streptophyta; Magnoliopsida; Poales; Poaceae. The record is from RefSeq and is a predicted model, not a curated record. The transcript is spliced from 4 exons.
CAAGUUUCGUGUGCCUAUUCAAAUCGUGUUGCUCUGCUAUGCUCUUGAUUAACUUAUAGAGUGUUUGACCGUAUUCUGCGGUGAUAAUGCAGGAGGAUUUGGAAGGAGAGAUGGAUCCAAGCACUCUACGCAAUGAUGGGAUGAUUGCUCUUUCAACAUAUUCUAUUAGCGAAGAUGGCAAGUGAAAGUGGGAGCGACUGGAUCACUAUUCCUAUCAUGCAUUGUAGACAUGAUGCAUUGGAUAUAUGUCAACAAAUUGUCCUUGGAUGAGGAAAUACCAAUUAUCUUGCUGUGGUGUGCUACUCUCUUUUGGCACUCGUUUUAUAUCACUACAACUGUUCAAAUAAUAUGGACGGUCGGUAAGGACGCCGUGGAUGCUAACAUUAAGAAACAGACUGGAGUGAGGGACAAGGAACAGACACUUGAUGUGCCUGCUGGGAAGGCAAUUACAAAGGAAUUAGUGGUCUGCUGUCCUCCUUAGUCCUUUGAAUGAUUCAUUUUCUUUUGGCAUGCAAUAACAUGACUAAUGCUGACACAUCUCCAUUGUGGGUUUUAUAUUUUCACUAACCAUGUCAAGUUUCCCCCUCAUUGGAGUAACUACUUAAGGAAUCUGUUAACCGGUUCAUGGCCUCUGUAGCAAGAAAGAAGAUAAAUCUUGAUUUCUUUAUGAAGGGGUGGAAGGUAUAUUUCUGUAUUUAAGAGUUUUUACUUAUUGAUACAGUUUAUCAAUAGGAUCUAUUGACAGUCUCUUAUGAACGCCUUUGGUGGUAACUAUUUAUGGGUAAUGAACUAUUGCUUGUGAUGCAAGUACCAUAACAUAUUCCCAUCGUAAGAUAUGUUUAAACAUCUUGAGCGAAUACUCCAUACAUGUUGAAGCUUUAAGCCUCUUGUUUGCCACGUUGUUUAGGUAUCAAGAGCCUUUUCUUUUGAAGGCAUUGACUUUUAUGGAUUUUAUGUAUGCCUUCAAAAGAGGCUUUUAUGUAUUUUCUUUAUUCUGGAUUUUAUGUAUGUCUGUUGUGAUGUUAGAUACAGAUUGAUUCAAAAGGCUUCAGCUGCGGAUUUGUUGGUGUAGUUUAUUUUAGCUGGGGUGACCAGUUGGUUUGCAGACAACGAUGGAUUCCGCUGAUGGUUGAGCAAGUAGGUGGGACAAGACAUCGAGGCCCAAAGCUGCUGCCGCCGUUGUUGCCCUGGUGGCGACAUUCAUCCAGCGCCGAUGCGUGAUAAACUGGCCAGAACCUCACUAGACGCUGAAAUGGAUUAGAUAAAUCUGUUGCUUCCAUCCAGAAUAGUUACUUUGUGUGGACUGCGUCUGGGCCUUUUGGUCAAAUGCCGGCAGUAUAGUUAUCCUGUCACAAUGUAUGGAAGAGCGCAGCUGGCAAAGGGAGAAGACCCAAGACAAUACAGUAAGAUUUACAGUAAGUAUGUUAUUAUGGAGUGUUCAGUUGACACCGUGGAGUAACACGACACAACUGUAUCGUUUUCUAUUUCUAUUUUUUUGCAAGUAUCACAUUUGUCUGUAAGAAUAAUAGCAUGAGUUAGUACUCCCUCUGUAAACUAA